UACAGAGGGGUGCAAGCGUUUAAUCGGAAUUACUGGGCGUAAAGCGUGCGUAGACGGUUGCGUAAGUCAGAUGUGAAAGCCCCGGGCUCAACCUGGGAAUUGCAUUUGAGACUGCGUAGCUAGGGUGCGGAAGAGGGAAGCGGAAUUUCCGGUGUAGCGGUGAAAUGCUUAGAUAUGACAUAGAACACCCGUGGCGAAGGCGGCGUGCUGGGUUGCAACUGACGCUGAGAUGCGAAAGUGUGGGGAGCAAACGGGG
This 256-nucleotide ribosomal RNA is filed under the name uncultured bacterium. RNAcentral describes it as "partial 16S ribosomal RNA". It matches the Rfam family "Bacterial small subunit ribosomal RNA", at positions 524 to 777 of the family's 1533-position model. The record is from RNAcentral.